This is a non-coding RNA of Cordylochernes scorpioides, 89 nucleotides long. NCBI's taxonomy places the organism in Eukaryota, Metazoa, Arthropoda, Arachnida, Pseudoscorpiones, Chernetidae. The record is from the annotation of a GenBank genome assembly.
UGGCAUUUUUGAGCUUGGCGUAGAUAGAGUCCAUGCUAUUUUUGGAGUUAGUGUGGAUGAUGAUCUUAUUACGGGCGCGGAAGAUGUUA